RNAcentral lists this long non-coding RNA (1235 nucleotides) under Homo sapiens (human). Its description in RNAcentral is "HSALNT0125501". The record is from RNAcentral. Lineage: Eukaryota; Metazoa; Chordata; Mammalia; Primates; Hominidae.
GGAUGAUGCCCACCUUCCCUGAGAUGCCUGCUGUCCUGGAAAAUCUUCUGGAUCUAUACAGUUAAACCCUCUGCAGCAUCCCCAUUAGGACCCCAAGAUCAUCAAAUCCUGACCCCGGCCCUUUAGCCCUUUCCUGUUCUUACAGCCACACAGAAACUGAAAAGCAAAGGGAAGGGUGGCACCUUUUGAGGCCUCAGGAAGACUCUGGGCUAUAGGCAGCACUCUGUCUGCUCAUGGAUAGCCAUGGCUAUCCUGGCUCUCUCAUUCUGCCUGUGUGCCAAGAUGAGCAUAAGCAAGACUGCCUACUCCCGGAGUUAUAGGUGGGGCUAACAGGACACAGUGCCUCUUCCUCUUAGAGGAAACUUUAAUAUAAUUAGUGCCCUGUCACUGGGCAGGACAAGUUUCUUCUACUUUGGCAUCUCCAACUUUCAUCAUGUCUUUAAACCCUGCCCUCCCAGGUCAUAUUAGCUCAUGAGAGACAAUUGUUAGCAUCUCUUCCUAACUCCAAAUUCACUGGUGCCUCAUUGAUAGCUUGCAGAGGCAUUUACCCUGCAGAAACCAGCAAAGACCACAAACUAGCGCUCUUUUUCUGGAAAUUCAUUUGUCAAACAUUUACCAAUGCACCAUCACUUUGAUCCCAGGAUAUGAACUGACACAUUUCUCCUGGUUUCAGUGGCAGACUCACCUCAUGGUCAUAAAGGAUAUAGCAUUGAGAGAAGUGAGGAAGAAGAAAAAAACACAGGACCAGUUCAUACUUCAAGUUAUUAUUAUUCAAAGGGCACCCCACACAGGUGCAAUUGUCCUGUGUUCCCUGACUCUGCUCCAUUCCAGUCCCCUACCUCCCUGUAAUUGCAAUCUAAGGCACAUUUUCCUUUUUAAGAGAAAAUUUAAUACCAAAAAUAUCAUUAAAGAGUCUAGCACCUGAGAAUUCUUGUCUGAGGCAAUGUGAAUUUUUUUCUUUUUAAAAUCAGGAAUACUGAUGAGUUUCCUUAUUGGAGUAUCACAGGGGAUUCUGAUUCUGUUGGAAUCCUGGCCAAGAGCUUCAUGUGCAGAGGGUGGUUAAUUGAUGGAGCGACACUGUAGGAAAGUUAAACAGAUAAGUUCCAGGACUACCCACUGCAAUUAGGAUAUAAAUCAUUUAGUGAUGUACAAAUUAAACAAAUAAUGUACCCAAUGUUUUAAAAAUUGAUCUUGAUUAUAUUCUAUUACAAAAAAUAGCAUACAAUUAGUUCUUG